This is a long non-coding RNA of Cheilinus undulatus (humphead wrasse), 2241 nucleotides long. RefSeq lists it as uncharacterized. Lineage: Eukaryota; Metazoa; Chordata; Actinopteri; Labriformes; Labridae. The record is from RefSeq and is a predicted model, not a curated record. The transcript has 5 exons.
UUACCAGCUGUCAAACUCAAACGCCACCUCUACUGACUACAGACAGAGACCAGUGGCCUGUAAAUGGGAGGCUCUCCUGCACCAUGGGGCAGCAAACGCAUUAGCUAAACAAGCUAGGUGGGUGCUGAAAGAUGAUGAUGUGAACUGCCAGAGAUUUUCUCAAGGAUGCCUCUGCCCAUUAUUGAUGGUAGGAAAGGGGGGUGCUGAAAGAUCUGUGAACUGCCAAAGACUUUCUCAAGGAUGUCUCUGUCCAUUGUUAAAGACUGCUCUGACACAUUGGCUGGUACGUAGGACUGCUGAGGAGAGAAAGGAAAUAUGGGAAGGGUGACCAGGGAGAAGACAUGCACCAGACAGCACCAGGACAAUGCCUCACUGCAGGGAGGACUGCAGCCUCAGUAGAUAAACAUCUGCUCUGCAGAGCCAAACUGGCGCCUGCUAUGUAAGAUAUUUUCAUACCUAAGUAUUGAGGUUCCUGUUUUACGGCCUCUAAUUUAUUUUCUGUUGUUUAUUUGGCACCAAAACACCAAGUCAGAUUCCUUAUACUUGAAACUUGUACUUGGCAAUAAACAUCAAGGACGGGGGUCAAGUUAAAAAAAAUAGAAAAGAAAAUCAUGUAUGAACACUUUUGAGCCUCUGAGCAAAAUACACACGUGUGUGAAGUGUGAGCAAAGAGCUGAGAACAACAAACUCAGAGAGUCUGACUUUCUUCUUUUUUAGAAAGUAAAUUCUCAACAAUAAACUGAGCUGGAAAUAUUUGAUAUCUACUAUUUAUGUUAAAAAUGAGCAUAUUAUGCCUUUGAAAGGAAAUCAUACAGCAAUGCUAAAUUUUUGUUAAUUGGUUUAAAUUAAUAACUUCUAAACACACUAGAGACCCAUGCAUGACAACAAAUACUGACAGAUUUAACAGUUUUGUUCUCAUGGUGAGCAACACAGCAAACCACACUAACAGAUGAAUUCACCAAUAACCAGAGCUUACAGUCCCAAGACUUGAAAAGUGUGUGGUCAAAUGCAGGUAGGGUAGUCAAGCUAAAUGUGGCUAGCUGUUAGCCACCUUCUACAUCCAUUACAGUCCAGCUCCUCCUUUUUGCCAGGUGGCUUAGGGCAUGCUGUAUGAGCACUCCUGUUAAAGCCACAAACCAACCAUUUGCCUCCAUUUCUGACGUCCAUUGAAGUUUUUGCUUCACAUUUACUACCAUGGCUGUGUUUGUUGUGCUUCCUCCUUGCUUUCUCCUUGGCCAGUGCCCUGUUCCACGUAGCAAUCCUGCUCAUGUCUGCUCAGGUGUCCUCAGUUCCCCACACAACAGGAUUUUAGAGUGUAAAUAUCGAGCACGUUUGAUAUUUACGAUCUCAAGUCAGAGCGGCUCUGAUAGGCCAAUCAGAUCAGAGAGGGAAAGAUCACUCUUAACACAUCACAUCCAGAGGAAGAUCUGUCACAGUAAUCUUCAUCAAUCAAUAAUCAGGCCUUUGCUGACUUUGGUGGGAAGGGGGAAAUAGGGUUAAAACUGAUUUUCUUGUAGUGUGCGCCAGGCUAUAUUCAGGUUCUCCACACAAUCAUUCUCUCAUUCAAAUUCAUGGUAGAUAACCAAGUUAAAGCAACUGUGAGGAAUUUUAACUGAUCAUGAACCAGGCUGAAAUUAACAGUGAUGCCUGUAUACCACCAAAAAAAACAACAACAUCAGACUGUCAGCAGAUUUAUUGUUUUUUUUUUUAAUGUUCCAAUUCCGAUACCAGUAUCAGAAAUCCGUCCGAUUCUGCUGUAAAUGAGGGUACUAGCACUGGCCAUUACACGUGCCUAUGCAAUGAUCCUAAAGUUUUAACUUUAUAUUUUGCUUCAUUUAUGCUGUAUGUUAGAGUUAUACCCUCCUGACAGCAGAGCUUUGUUUUGGAAUGCAAUUUCCUAAAAAAUUAUUAGAGAUUUCUAAAACAUAAAAAUAGACUGCCUCAAAUUUCCUAGACAUUAACAAAAAUUUCAGUGAAAAUUAAUUUAAUUCUUUUUCAAUCCCAUUAAACUAUCCCAAACAUUCCUCAAAUAUCCCAGUAAAACUUUCUGGAUAAAAGCCUGCACAUUUAAAUGACAUUUCCCCCAAAAUUCUAUGAAAAUUCCUGAAAUUUUAAGCCAUUUCCCCAAAUAUUCAAAGCAAUUCCAUCCAAAAUUUCAAACCAAAAUCCCCUAAAUUUACAACUAAAUUACAACAAAAUGUCAAAAAUGAUGGAAACUUUGCAAAUUCCCUAAAAUUUCCA